Long non-coding RNA from Pseudophryne corroboree (corroboree frog), 850 nucleotides. RefSeq lists it as uncharacterized. The record is from RefSeq and is a predicted model, not a curated record. Lineage: Eukaryota; Metazoa; Chordata; Amphibia; Anura; Myobatrachidae. The transcript is spliced from 3 exons.
GUAGUGCUGGAUUACCCACUAGGCAAUCCAGGUAACUGUCUAGAAACUGGGGACCCCAGGGUGCCUGUCACUUUCCAAGCUGCACGCUCCCCCAUUGUCCAUUCCGGAACAUCCUCUGUACGUUGAAAACACAUCAUACUGUGGGCACAGCUGACCUGCAGUUUCAUGCUGUUAUACAUCAUCUCAGCAGCAGUAGACCAUUGUAAGUGACGCCGACAACCUGGAGACUGCAAAAAGGCUCACCAGGGUCUUAUGUGAUAUCCCAUAACAACAAGGACAUUUUUGACAACAGUGUAGUUGCCUGUGCCAUUUUAAAUAAAGUUUAUUUAAAAGAAAAUUGAACAGCAGUUUGAGAAGUCAGUUGGAGCCAUGGUGAGGAAAGAGCUGGCGACGCCAUUACGCAGAGAUGAGCAGCUGAGAGAGGGGAGACAAAUAAGCUGAAAAUUGCAUGAGAGAGUAAGCAGUAGUGCAAAAUACAGCAAUGGAAGUGCAGCAAUUAACAAAUGCCAUGCAGGAGCUAUUAGGCACUGGAUACAAGGGCAUGAAGCAUUUAUUCAGGUCACUCAUGGGUUAAGCUCAUACUACCGCCAGUGACGUAAGUCCUCGUGGGCAUCCCAGUACCGGUAAGUGCGUCAAGCCUUAUGGGAAAAGUGGCUCUUGUAGGUGAGAAGACCUGCUGGUGGGUUCUAUGAGACUUAACUCAGAGUGUACAGGGGUCACUGCCCAGAAGUCGAUCUACAACCUCAAUUCCUGCAAAGAACCUCAGUUGCAAUCAUAACAUUUACAUUGCCUGUGUGCCUCUGUCAUGGUCUGUACUGUUUAUGCCUAAAUAAACCAACUUUCGUUUUGC